UACGUAGGGGGCAAGCGUUGUCCGGAAUCAUUGGGCGUAAAGAGCGUGUAGGCGGCCAGAUAAGUCCGCUGUGAAAUCUCGAGGCUCAACUUCGCGCUGUCGGUGGAAACUGUCUGGCUAGAGUCCGGAAGAGGAGAAUGGAAUUCCUGGUGUAGCGGUGAAAUGCGCAGAUAUCAGGAAGAACACCCGUGGCGAAGGCGGUUCUCUGGGACGGUACUGACGCUGAGACGCGAAAGCGUGGGGAGCGAACAGG
This 253-nucleotide ribosomal RNA is filed under the name uncultured bacterium. RNAcentral describes it as "partial 16S ribosomal RNA". It matches the Rfam family "Bacterial small subunit ribosomal RNA", at positions 524 to 776 of the family's 1533-position model. The record is from RNAcentral.